GUAAAUAUUACUAAAGGUGGAAAUUAAACUGGAAGCAUGAUUCGAAUUUGACAAUAAAAGCAAGCUUGAUUAUGUGACUAUGUUUAACACUAUAUAUGAACAAAUUUAACAUUAUUUUCAGAUUACUUCGAACUAAUGUUAAUCACCCUAGUAACUCACACAUCAUAACAAAACUACUGAAUAGCAGAUUGAAAACACAAAUCCAUUUUAACCUAUUUUUAUAACUACUGAAAACAAAUCAAACGCUAACUCUCACGAAUCUGAAAGGUACUGUCUAUACAGUCCAUUACAGUACAAACGAUUAGACAGUCCUAAUAGUCCAGAAGUAGUUCCAAUUUAACAGGUGUAUCACAAACAAAUUAACUAAAGCUAUAUAACUACAUAUCAUUUGCUAGACUACAAUAAUAAGCAUCAUACCAGCGUAGAUCUGGAGGCUGAUUUCAUUUCAUUCAAAUUCAAAACUACAUCAGUGAGAAUUCAAAUGUGUAGCUGAAAUUCGAAGUGAAAUAAGAAAAGGAGAGGUCAACAGUAGUAUGAGAAACACAAUUUCAAAUAGGAACAGAAUAGUAACAUCUAUUUCAGCUUGAAUCUCGUAAAGCCAACAUAAAAAAUCCCAGCAAAUAAACCCAGAAAUCAAACAGAGGCACUUGAAAAUGAUCUACACAGCUCAAAUACACCCACACUAACUUGAACUGGAACCAGUACACCUCUAUAGCUUCAACCAACCGCUAUUGUAAUCGAAAAUGUGAAACAACUACAACUGAUCGAAAUUAGCCUAGGAAUUUGAGUAAAACAAUACUUUUUUGAAUUUUCUGUAGUUUUUGAAUCUGAAAUUCCAAUCUGGAUUCUGGAAACUAUAUUGGUUUUUGCGGGGUAUUCUAGAAGCUAAAAAAACUUUUGACUUAAGGCAAGUCAGCUGCCUUUUAUAGGCAAACUAAAAGGGGAAGCUUCUAGAUCUUGUCCAUACUUUUUCCCCCUUUUUUAUUUCAAAUUUAAUUUAAUAGUCCCUAAUUUACUAACUUAUUACUCAAGUUAGUGCACCUAAACUUCUAAAAUUCCACCUAAAGUUCUAUUAUUGAAGAUUCUAGAUGAUUCUAGUGUAACCAACAUCAUUCUUUCUAUCUUAGAAUACCUAAAUUGACCUUGAAUACCCCUAAAAUUAUCAACUUCAGUUAACUAAUCCAACCCAUGACUAACUAAAGAUCUAAUUUACCCAGUUGUAAUCAGAUUAGCUAAAAUAAUCGUAAUAACUACUUCAACAAAUGUUGAAUUUACAGAACAAAAACCUACUUAACUAAUUCCAAUAGCUACUAGUUGCUAAUUACUGAAUUACUACUAAACAAAUACUGUUUGGAAACACAAAAUCAACUAUUGAAAGCCUAACUAAUACUAAUCCAAUUAGAUCCCGAAGAAAAUACUAUAAACAACUACAUCAGAAUUGAAUCGAAUCCUAUUUAAACUACCAAUUCGAACUAAUCAAAAUCAACCAAUGCUUAACAAUUAAACUAACAAAACGAAAAUCAAAAUUAAGCUAACAUGAACCAAUUAACUAAAUAGAUGAAAAUUAAUCCAAAGAAUUAAACGCCCUAGGUCUGAUGAUUCAAACCGAAUUGGAAGCAAAGCCAAACAAUUGCAUCACAGAUAAUCAAACACAUAAAAAAAAGAAAGAAAGAAAUUAAAAAGAAAACUCAUUGAUUUUCAGACUCCGCAAGAAUGCCUUUCGAAAAUGACUUCCAGCUAAUAUUAUAUGUCUAUUUCGUCAAAAAUAGGCCUAUAAUAUUAACGAGAACUCACUCGACCUUGAAACUUAUCAAAAUAUGCUCGAACCGUAUGAACCCUAGAUCAUAAUUCAAUGAGUUUUACUCAGAUUCGAGAAAUUUUUGUUAGGAAUUAGGGGUGAGGAUGGCCAGGGGAGUGUAGGGUAUGAAUUUGGGGUCGUUUGGACAAAGUAAGGUUUUAGCCAUAUUUUUCAACUUAAGAUUUGAAGGGCUAGGUGAUGAUUCGAGGGAAACGAACCAUAGAUUAGGAAUGAGGGGAGUGAGGGGGGUUCGGGGUGUUAACCUGGGGUCGAACAGAUGUCGGCGCCGCCAUCGCCGCCGGUGGAAUUUGGGGGUGGCGAGCUAUUAUGGUUCUUGUAAAAGGGGUAU
This 2147-nucleotide long non-coding RNA is filed under the name Nicotiana benthamiana. RNAcentral's name for it is "long non-coding RNA (NBEN_LNC006764)". Lineage: Eukaryota; Viridiplantae; Streptophyta; Magnoliopsida; Solanales; Solanaceae. The record is from RNAcentral.